This 380-nucleotide ribosomal RNA is filed under the name uncultured bacterium. RNAcentral's name for it is "bacterial SSU rRNA". It matches the Rfam family "Bacterial small subunit ribosomal RNA", at positions 95 to 476 of the family's 1533-position model. The record is from RNAcentral.
GUGGCGGACGGGUUAGUAACACGUGAGAACCUACCCUUUAGACAGGAAUAGCCCAUGGAAACGUGGAUUAAUGCCUGAUAGUCUCUACGGAGUAAAUGGUGCCUCCGGGUAUCGCUAAAGGAUGGGCUCGCGGCCUAUCAGCUUGUUGGUGAGGUAAAGGCUCACCAAGGCGACGACGGGUAGCUGGUCUGAGAGGACGAUCAGCAACACUGGAACUGAGACACGGUCCAGACACCUACGGGUGGCAGCAGUCGAGAAUCAUUCACAAUGGAGGCAACUCUGAUGGUGCAACGCCGCGUGGAGGAUGACGGUCCUAGGAUUGUAAACUCCUGUCAUUGGGGAGUAAGACUUAAGCGUUAAGAGCGUUUAAGUUUGAUAGU